CCGUGGUGCUGCCUUUCGCUUCAAAACCGACGGCGUCUAUUACUGCAUCCACGCCCCGGUGACCUGCCGUUUGUU
Molecule: transfer RNA, 75 nt
Filed under: Escherichia coli
Lineage: Bacteria; Pseudomonadati; Pseudomonadota; Gammaproteobacteria; Enterobacterales; Enterobacteriaceae
Description: tRNA-Gln
Source: RNAcentral